CCCGACCCAGAAGCAGGUCGUCUACGAAUGGUUUAGCGCCAGGUUCCCCACGAACGUGCGGUGCGUGACGGGCGAGGGGGCGGCCGCCUUUCCAGCCGCGCCCCGUUUCCCAGGACGAAGGGCACUCCGCACCGGACCCCGGUCCCGGCGCGCGGCGGGGCACGCGCCCUCCCGCGCGCGCGGGGCGCGUGGAGGGGGGGGCGGCCCGCCGGCGGGGACAGGCGGGGGACCGGCUAUCCGAGGCCAACCGAGGCUCCGCGGCGCUGCCGUAUCGCUCCGCGGCGCUGCCGUAUCGUUCCGCCUGGGCGGGAUUCUGACUUAGAGGCCAACCGAGGCUCCGCGGCGCUGCCGUAUCGUUCCGCCUGGGCGGGAUUCUGACUUAGAGGCGUUCAGUCAUAAUCCCACAGAUGGUAGCUUCGCCCCAUUGGCUCCUCAGCCAAGCACAUACACCAAAUGUCUGAACCUGCGGUUCCUCUCGUACUGAGCAGGAUUACCAUGGCAACAACACAUCAUCAGUAGGGUAAAACUAAC
Molecule: long non-coding RNA, 531 nt
Filed under: Homo sapiens (human)
Lineage: Eukaryota; Metazoa; Chordata; Mammalia; Primates; Hominidae
Description: PREDICTED lncRNA (TCONS_00173942)
Source: RNAcentral